This 614-nucleotide long non-coding RNA is filed under the name Phasianus colchicus (ring-necked pheasant). Its description in RNAcentral is "lncRNA (ENSPCLG00000007933.1)". The record is from RNAcentral. Lineage: Eukaryota; Metazoa; Chordata; Aves; Galliformes; Phasianidae.
CAGAAAUCUGAAAAGAGCUUCACAGUUAUCUAAAGUGCAGAUUUAUCACUUCUGGCAACUGGAGAACAAAUGGGAAAAUUUGCUCUGAUUUUCCACUGGACUCGUUUUCAGAUCCUGCAGAAAUUGAUUGAUAUAAUCUACUGAAAGGAUUGUUUCAGUCUAAAACAAUAAGAGAUCCUCAUCAGUAUCUCCCUGAGCUGCACCCUCCAGAGAUAAAUCUGCUCGGUGUGCUCCUGUGGACUGCUCCAAAGUGGCAGGACCCGCAGCAGCAGAGCAGAAACGCUCCCCAACACCUCGUCCUGCUCCUCCGUGCGCUCUGCUUAGGCUCUGCCAUUUUGCAGCCAUGCAUCAUAUCUGUCUGCAGCUCACAUGUGCAUGAUCUCCAUGGCGACUUGGGCACUCGAGGUAGAAAUAUGAGCUGCAUCAUCUCCCCCUGUUGUCCAUCGACAUAAAAUGCAGUGUUCUGGAACAUGAGAAAGGCAAUACGUUUCCUCCAGUUCUUUGUAAGCUGAUAUGAAGUAGACAGACACCUUCUGAAGUUUUGUGCAUGCUGUGCUCUUUUUUUCUUUGCUGCAACAAGAAAAGCCUUUUCUUUUAACCUGGCUUCCUUUGAA